This 236-nucleotide ribosomal RNA is filed under the name Mycobacterium tuberculosis. RNAcentral describes it as "partial 23S ribosomal RNA". It matches the Rfam family "Bacterial large subunit ribosomal RNA", at positions 1270 to 1520 of the family's 2925-position model. The record is from RNAcentral. Lineage: Bacteria; Bacillati; Actinomycetota; Actinomycetes; Mycobacteriales; Mycobacteriaceae.
CCUCUGGAGGUAUCGGAAGUGCGAAUGUUGACAUGAGUAACGAUAAAGGGAGUGAGAGACUCCCUCGCCGAAAGACCAAGGGUUCCUGCUUAAAGUUAAUCUGAGCAGGGUUAGCCGGCCCCUAAGGCGAGGCCGAAAGGCGUAGUCGAUGGGAACCACGUUAAUAUUCGUGGGCCUGCGGGUAGUGACGGAUCGCGUAUGUUGUUCUUCCUUAUUGGAUUGGAAGGGCUUCGAAG